This 334-nucleotide ribosomal RNA is filed under the name uncultured bacterium. RNAcentral's name for it is "bacterial SSU rRNA". It matches the Rfam family "Bacterial small subunit ribosomal RNA", at positions 568 to 899 of the family's 1533-position model. The record is from RNAcentral.
UGUGUAGGCGGGAAAGCAAGCGUUUUGUGAAAUCCCCCGGCUUAACCGGGGAAUUGCUUGAUGAACUGCUUUUCUUGAGGCAAGUAGGGGUGCACGGAACUCUUGGUGGAGCGGUGGAAUGCGUAGAUAUCAAGAGGAACGCCAGUGGAGAAAUCGGUGCACUGGGCUUGUCCUGACGCUGAGACACGAAAGCGUGGGGAGCGAACGGGAUUAGAUACCCCGGUAGUCCACGCCCUAAACGAUGCCUACUAGGUUGCGGUGGUUCUGACACUAUCACAGCCGAAGCAAAAAGUGCUAAGUAGGCCGCCUGGGGAGUACGGUCGCAAGGCUAAAA